AUCCAGCUGACGAGUCCCAAAUAGGACGAAAUGCUUGCCAAACUGGAU
Non-coding RNA from Schistosoma rodhaini, 48 nucleotides. The record is from Rfam. Lineage: Eukaryota; Metazoa; Platyhelminthes; Trematoda; Strigeidida; Schistosomatidae.